RNAcentral lists this ribosomal RNA (460 nucleotides) under uncultured bacterium. RNAcentral's name for it is "partial 16S ribosomal RNA". It matches the Rfam family "Bacterial small subunit ribosomal RNA", at positions 338 to 795 of the family's 1533-position model. The record is from RNAcentral.
CCUACGGGAGGCAGCAGUGAGGAAUAUUGGUCAAUGGCCGUAAGGCUGAACCAGCCAAGUCGCGUGAGGGAAGAAGGCUCUAUGGGUUGUAGACUUCUUUUGUCGGGGAAUAAAGGUAUCCACGUGUGGAUAUUUGCAUGUACCCUAUGAAUAAGCAUCGGCUAACUCCGUGCCAGCAGCCGCGGUAAUACGGAGGAUGCGAGCGUUAUCCGGAUUUAUUGGGUUUAAAGGGUGCGUAGGGUGUCUUUUAAGUCAGCGGUGAAAGUUUGGGGCUCAACCCUAGCAUUGCCGUUGAAACUGGGAGACUUGAGUGCGUUGGAGGCAGGCGGAAUGCGCGGUGUAGCGGUGAAAUGCAUAGAUAUCGCGCAGAACUCCGAUUGCGAAGGCAGCGUACUAAGCCGUAACUGACACUGAAGCACGAAAGCGUGGGGAUCAAACAGGAUUAGAUACCCGAGUAGUC